GGCCUACGGGAGGCAGCAGUGAGGAAUAUUGGUCAAUGGGCGAGAGCCUGAACCAGCCAAGUCGCGUGAAGGAUGACGGCCCUAUGGGUUGUAAACUUCUUUUGUCAGGGAGCAAUUGGGUCCACGCGCGGGCUUAGCGAGAGUACCUGAAGAAAAAGCAUCGGCUAACUCCGUGCCAGCAGCCGCGGUAAUACGGAGGAUGCGAGCGUUAUCCGGAUUUAUUGGGUUUAAAGGGUGCGUAGGCGGUCCGUUAAGUCAGCGGUAAAAUUGCGGGGCUCAACCCCGGCGAGCCGUUGAAACUGGCA
Molecule: ribosomal RNA, 305 nt
Filed under: uncultured bacterium
Lineage: Bacteria
Description: bacterial SSU rRNA
Rfam family: Bacterial small subunit ribosomal RNA
Source: RNAcentral